Molecule: ribosomal RNA, 440 nt
Filed under: uncultured bacterium
Lineage: Bacteria
Description: partial 16S ribosomal RNA
Rfam family: Bacterial small subunit ribosomal RNA
Source: RNAcentral
CCUACGGGUGGCAGCAGUGGGGAAUAUUGGACAAUGGGGGAAACCCUUAUCCAGCGACGCCGCGUGAGGGAAGAAGGUUUUCGGAUUGUAAACCUCUGUCAGUGGGGACGAUAAUGACGGUACCCACGGAGGAAGCCACGGCUAACUACGUGCCAGCAGCCGCGGUAAUACGUAGGUGGCAAGCGUUGUCCGGAAUUACUGGGUGUAAAGGGAGCGUAGGCGGGAUGUCAAGUCAGAAGUGAAAAUUAUGGGCUCAACUCAUAACCUGCUUUUGAAACUGAUAUUCUUGAGUGAAGUAGAGGAUAGUGGAAUUCCUAGUGUAGCGGUGGAAUGCGUAGAUAUUAGGAGGAACAUCAGUGGCGAAGGCGACUAUCUGGACAGCAACUGACACUGAGGCACGAAAGCGUGGGGAGCAAACAGGAUUAGAUACCCGAGUAGUC